ACGCUGGCGGCGUGCUUAACACAUGCAAGUCGAACGAUGAAGCCUAGCUUGCUAGGUGGAUUAGUGGCGAACGGGUGAGUAAUACGUGAGUGACCUACCUUUGACUCUGGGAUAAGCCUGGGAAACUGGGUCUAAUACCGGAUACGACCAAUCUCUGCAUGGGGUGUUGGUGGAAAGCGUUAUGGAGUGGUUUUAGAUGGGCUCACGGCCUAUCAGCUUGUUGGUGAGGUAAUGGCUUACCAAGGCGACGACGGGUAGCCGGCCUGAGAGGGUGACCGGCCACACUGGGACUGAGACACGGCCCAGACUCCUACGGGAGGCAGCAGUGGGGAAUAUUGCACAAUGGGCGCAAGCCUGAUGCAGCGACGCCGCGUGAGGGAUGACGGCCUUCGGGUUGUAAACCUCUGUUAGCAUCGAAGAAGCGAAAGUGACGGUAGGUGCAGAGAAAGCGCCGGCUAACUACGUGCCAGCAGCCGCGGUAAUACGUAGGGCGCGAGCGUUGUCCGGAAUUAUUGGGCGUAAAGAGCUUGUAGGCGGUUGGUCGCGUCUGCUGUGAAGGCCGGGGCUUAACUCCGGUUUUGCAGUGGGUACGGGCUAACUAGAGUGCAGUAGGGGAGACUGGAAUUCCUGGUGUAGCGGUGGAAUGCACAGAUAUCAGGAGGAACACCGAUGGCGAAGGCAGGUCUCUGGGCUGUAACUGACGCUGAGAAGCGAAAGCAUGGGGAGCGAACAGGAUUAGAUACCCUGGUAGUCCAUGCCGUAAACGUUGGGCACUAGGUGUGGGGGACAUUCCACGUUUCCCGCGCCGUAGCUAACGCAUUAAGUGCCCCGCCUGGGGAGUACGGCCGCAAGGCUAAAACUCAAAGGAAUUGACGGGGGCCCGCACAAGCGGCGGAGCAUGCGGAUUAAUUCGAUGCAACGCGAAGAACCUUACCAAGGCUUGACAUGCAUUAGAUCGCGUCAGAGAUGGCGUUUCCCUUCGGGGCUGGUGUACAGGUGGUGCAUGGUUGUCGUCAGCUCGUGUCGUGAGAUGUUGGGUUAAGUCCCGCAACGAGCGCGACCCUCGUUCUAUGUUGCCAGCGGUUCGGCCGGGGACUCAUAGGAGACUGCCGGGGUUAACUCGGAGGAAGGUGGGGAUGACGUCAAAUCAUCAUGCCCCUUAUGUCUUGGGCUUCACGCAUGCUACAAUGGCCGGUACAGAGGGUUGCGAUACUGUGAGGUGGAGCUAAUCCCUUAAAGCCGGUCUCAGUUCGGAUUGGGGUCUGCAACUCGACCCCAUGAAGUCGGAGUCGCUAGUAAUCGCAGAUCAGCAACGCUGCGGUGAAUACGUUCCCGGGCCU
Molecule: ribosomal RNA, 1340 nt
Filed under: uncultured bacterium
Lineage: Bacteria
Description: 16S ribosomal RNA
Rfam family: Bacterial small subunit ribosomal RNA
Source: RNAcentral